RNAcentral lists this ribosomal RNA (484 nucleotides) under uncultured bacterium. Its description in RNAcentral is "partial 16S ribosomal RNA". It matches the Rfam family "Bacterial small subunit ribosomal RNA", at positions 30 to 507 of the family's 1533-position model. The record is from RNAcentral.
AUUGAACGCUGGCGGCAGGCCUAACACAUGCAAGUCGAGCGGAUGAAGGGAGCUUGCUCCUGGAUUCAGCGGCGGACGGGUGAGUAAUGCCUAGGAAUCUGCCUGGUAGUGGGGGAUAACGUCCGGAAACGGGCGCUAAUACCGCAUACGUCCUGAGGGAGAAAGUGGGGGAUCUUCGGACCUCACGCUAUCAGAUGAGCCUAGGUCGGAUUAGCUAGUUUGUGGGGUAAAGGCCUACCAAGGCGACGAUCCGUAACUGGUCUGAGAGGAUGAUCAGUCAAACUGGAAGUGAGACACGGUCCAGACUCCUACGGGAGGCAGCAGUGGGGAAUAUUGGACAAUGGGCGAGAGCCUGAUCCAGCCAUGCCGCGUGUGUGAAGAAGGUCUUCGGAUUGUAAAGCACUUUAAGUUGGGAGGAAGGGCAGUAAGUUAAUACCUUGCUGUUUUGACGUUACCAACAGAAUAAGCACCGGCUAACUUCGUG